UCGCUGACAGGUGAUGAGGCUCACCUUCAACCGCCAUACGGCUAAUGGCUUCUACCCACUG
This 61-nucleotide non-coding RNA is filed under the name Mycobacterium sherrisii. Its description in RNAcentral is "Fluoride sequence". It matches the Rfam family "Fluoride riboswitch aptamer (crcB RNA motif)". The record is from Rfam by way of RNAcentral. Lineage: Bacteria; Bacillati; Actinomycetota; Actinomycetes; Mycobacteriales; Mycobacteriaceae.